GUGUAAGCUACUAAGGGCGUACGGUGGAUGCCUUGGCGCCAAAAGCCGAAGAAGGACGCGGUACACUGCGAUAAGCCUCGGGGAGUCGUGUGCAGACGUUAUAUCCGGGGAUGUCCGAAUGGGGAAACCCGCCUAGCCGAUCGCUAGGCACCGGCGACUGAAUACAUAGGUCGCACGGAGGGAACCAGGGGAACUGAAACAUCUUAGUACCCUGAGGAAAAGAGAUUAUUCCCUGAGUAGUGGCGAGCGAAAGGGGAGCAGCCCAAACCGAUGGGGCUUCGGCUCAAUCGGGGUUGUAAGGCCCGCAUAUGGAAGUUACCAAUCUGGUCUCUAGUUGAACGGCUCUGGAAAGGCCGACCACAGAGGGUGAAAGUCCCGUAAAUAAAAGAGAUCCAGACUUCCGCGGUGUCCUUGAGUACCACGGGGCACGCUAAUCCUGUGGGAAUCCGGGAAGUCCACUUCCCAAGGCUAAAUACUUUUGGCGACCGAUAGUGAACAAGUACCAUGAGGGAAAGGUGAAAAGCACGGCCGCGAGCCGAGUGAAAUAGAACCUGAAACCGUAUGCUUACAAACAGUCAGAGGGCAAUGUCUGACCUUCGGGUCUGACAGGCCUGAUGGCGUGCCUUUCGGAGAAUGAUCCGGCGAGUUACUCAGUGUCGCAAGGUUAAGGGAGUCACACCCGAAGCCGUAGCGAAAGCGAGUCUGAAUAGGGCGUUUAGUGGCGCUGAGUAGACCCGAAACCAGGUGAUCUACCCAUGAGCAGGGUGAAGCGAGGUUAAACCCUCGUGGAGGCCCGAACUUACUAAUGUUGCAAAAUUAGGAGAUGACUUGUGGGUAGGGGUGAUAUGCCAAACGAACUUGGAUAUAGCUGGUUCUCCUCGAAAUAGCUUUAGGGCUAGCCUCACGCGUUCAGUUACGGAGGUAGAGCACUGGAUUGGCUAGGGGGCUUACUGCUUACCAAACCAAACCAAACUCCGAAUGCCGUAACUCUAGAGCGUGGGAGUCGGACUGCGAAUGCUGAGAUCCGUAGUCGAGAGGGAAACAACCCAGACCGCCGGCUAAGGUCCCUAACUUCAAGCUAAGUGGGAAACGAUGUGGGAUUACUCGGACAGCCAGGAGGUUGGCUUAGAAGCAGCCACCCUUUAAAGAGUGCGUAACAGCUCACUGGUCAAGUGAUCCUGCGCGGAAAAUGUAACGGGGCUCAAGCUUGAGACCGAAGCCACGGAAUUCCUAGCAAUAGGGAUUGGUAGAGGAGCGUUCUGCACAGCGUCGAAGGCCGAUCGUAAAGGACGACUGGAGCGUGCAGAAGUGAGAAUGCCGGAAUGAGUAGCGUAAAACACGUGAGAACCGUGUUCACCGUAAGUCUAAGGUUUCCGACGCAAGGUCAAUCCGCGUUGGGUUAGUCGGGCCUAAGCCGAGGCUGGCAAGCGUAGGCGAUGGACAACAGGUCAACAUUCCUGUACCACCGGUGAUGAGCGAUGAGGGGACGCAGUAGGGUAGGCCAGCCUCCGAUUGGUUGUGGAGGUUCCAAGCCUGUAGGCGUUGAGGUGCGUAGGCAAGUCCGCGCGCUGAGCCGAGGGGUUAUGGCGGUGCCUUGAGCCGUAAGUGGUUGAGCCCUGCUGUCAAGAAAAGCCUCUAAGCGUUGAUUCAUUGGUGCCCGUACCGCAAACCGACACUGGUAGACGGGUAGAGUAUACCAAGGUGACCGGGAGAACUCAUGCUAAGGAAUUAGGCAACAUGACCUCGUAACUUCGGGAUAAGAGGUGCUCUCUGCUGUGAGGAAACUCCAUGAAGCAGCGGAGAGUCGCAGUGAAAUGGCUCUAGCGACUGGUUAACAAAACCACAGGUCUCUGCUAAGCCGCAAGGCGACGUAUAGGGGCUGACACCUGCCCAGUGCCGGAAGGUUAAAAGGAGAGGUUCGGCGUAAGCCAAAGCCUUGAAUUGAAGCCCCGGUGAACGGCGGCCGUAACUAUAACGGUCCUAAGGUAGCGAAAUUCCUUGUCGGGUAAGUUCCGACCCGCACGAAAGGUGUAACGACUGGAGCACUGUCUCGGCAUGAGACCCGGCGAAAUUGAAAUACGUGUAAAGAUGCGCGUUACCCGCAGCAGGACAAAAAGACCCCGUGGAGCUUUACUGUAUCUUGGCAUUGCGUUAGGGCUUGGUCUGUGUAGAAUAGGUGGGAGGCUUUGAAGCUGGGGCGCUAGCCUCGGUGGAGCCACAAUGUGAAAUACCACCCUGAUUAAGUUUUGACCCUAACCCCGUACCGUCAUCCGGUCGGGGGACCGUGCCAGGUGGGCAGUUUGACUGGGGCGGUCGCCUCCUAAAAGGUAGCGGAGGCGCCCAAAGGUUCCCUCAGGCUGAAUGGAAACCAGCCAUAGAGUGCAAAGGCAUAAGGGAGCUUGACUGUAAGGCAAACACGCCGAGCAGAUGCGAAAGCAGGGCUUAGUGAUCCCACGGUACUGAGUGGAAGGGCCGUGGCUUACCGGACAAAAGCUACCCCGGGGAUAACAGGCUGGUGAAGUCCAAGAGUCCAUAUCGACGACUUCGCUCGGCACCUCGAUGUCGGCUCGUCGCAUCCUGGGGCUGUAUAAGGUCCCAAGGGUUGGGCUGUUCGCCCAUUAAAGCGGCACGUGAGCUGGGUUCAGACCGUCGUGAGACAGGUCGGUCUCUAUCCGCUGUGGGCGUAGGGGAUUUGAGGGGAGCUGCUCUUAGUACGAGAGGACCGGAGUGGACAGACCUCUGGUGUGCCAGUUGUUCCGCCAGGAGCAUCGCUGGGUAGCCACGUCUGGCAGAGAUAACCGCUGAAUGCAUCUAAGUGGGAAACUCGCCCCAAGAUUAGAUCCCCCUUCUAUAUGAGAAAGACCGCCGGAAGACCACCGGUUUGAUAGGCGACAGGUGUAAGCACAGCAAUGUGUUAAGCUUAGUCGAUACUAAUGGUCGAGGGCUUACGUGA
This 2953-nucleotide ribosomal RNA is filed under the name Thermoflexales bacterium. Its description in RNAcentral is "23S ribosomal RNA". It matches the Rfam family "Bacterial large subunit ribosomal RNA". The record is from RNAcentral. Lineage: Bacteria; Bacillati; Chloroflexota; Thermoflexia; Thermoflexales.